UACAGAAGGUGCGAGCGUUAAUCGGAAUUACUGGGCGUAAAGGGUGCGUAGGUGGUUUUGUAAGUUAGGUGUGAAAGUCCCGGGCUUAACCUGGGGAUUGCGCCUAAUACUGCAAAGCUAGAGUACUGUAGAGGAAAGUGGAAUUUCCAGUGUAGCGGUGAAAUGCGUAGACAUUGGAAGGAACAUCAGUGGCGAAGGCGACUUUCUGGACAGGUACUGACACUCAACUACGAAAGCGUGGGGAGCAAACAGG
This 253-nucleotide ribosomal RNA is filed under the name uncultured prokaryote. RNAcentral's name for it is "partial 16S ribosomal RNA". It matches the Rfam family "Bacterial small subunit ribosomal RNA", at positions 524 to 776 of the family's 1533-position model. The record is from RNAcentral.